RNAcentral lists this ribosomal RNA (361 nucleotides) under Desmoscolecidae sp. 406_5-1000_X. RNAcentral describes it as "SSU rRNA". It matches the Rfam family "Eukaryotic small subunit ribosomal RNA", at positions 52 to 412 of the family's 1831-position model. The record is from RNAcentral. Lineage: Eukaryota; Metazoa; Nematoda; Chromadorea; Desmoscolecida; Desmoscolecidae.
UGCAUGUCUAAGCACAAGCCGAAAAUGGUGAAGCCGCGAAUGGCUCAUUACAACAGCCUUCGUUUAUUUGAUCUUGAAAUCCUACUUGGAUAACUGUGGUAAUUCUAGAGCUAAUACACGCACACGAGCUCUGGUCUUGCGGCCGGAGCGCAUUUAUUAGUACAAAACCAAUCGGGCUUCGGCCCGUUGUCUGGUGAAUCUGAAUAACUGAGCCGAUCGCACGGUCUCUGCACCGGCGACGCAUCAUUCAAGUGUCUGCCCUAUCAACUUUCGAUGGUAGUUUAUGUGACUACCAUGGUUGCAACGGGUAACGGAGAAUAAGGGUUCGACUCCGGAGAAGCAGCCUGAGAAACGGCUACUA